Molecule: ribosomal RNA, 3080 nt
Filed under: Orbilia zhongdianensis
Lineage: Eukaryota; Fungi; Ascomycota; Orbiliomycetes; Orbiliales; Orbiliaceae
Description: eukaryotic LSU rRNA
Rfam family: Eukaryotic large subunit ribosomal RNA (bases 2450-3080)
Source: RNAcentral
CCUUAGAUGUUCUGGGCCGCACGCGCGCUACACUGACAGAGCCAACGAGUAUAAACCUUAACCGAGAGGUUUGGGUAAUCUUGUUAAACUCUGUCGUGCUGGGGAUAGAGCAUUGCAAUUAUUGCUCUUCAACGAGGAAUAUCUAGUAAGCGCAAGUCAUCAGCUUGCGUUGAUUACGUCCCUGCCCUUUGUACACACCGCCCGUCGCUACUACCGAUUGAAUGGCUCAGUGAGGCCUUCGGACUGGCUCAGGGAAGUCGGCAACGACUACCCAGAGCCGGAAAGUUGGUCAAACUUGGUCAUUUAGAGGAAGUAAAAGUCGUAACAAGGUUUGAAGUAAGAUCCUUUCGUUAGGUGACGCUACGAGAAGCCUUUGUGGCCCCGCAAGGGUACCUGCCGCGACUAUAAAAAACGUAAGUGNGUAUUAAAUCGCAAGUCUCUAUUAUAGAGGCUACACUUUCGAAUUGCGGGGAACUCCUAAAGCUCAUAUCUACCAAGCUGGUUUGAGAAAUCUGCUAGUGGCUUGUGGUAACGACACAAGGUAUGGUAAAAACGAUCGAGAUAAGCAACUUUGGUUGCAACAUGGAUAAUCCGCAGCCAAGCCCUAAGGUCUAUUUGACUAUGGGAAAGGUUCACAGACUAAGUGGAAGUGGGCUGUUGCAUGCAUGCAACGGCUUAAGAUAUAGUCGGGUUUUGCAAGAAACUGCAAAAGAGUCACCCAGAAAGCACUUCACAAAGCUAUGUAGAGUUGAAAUAUCAAUGAGCACAGUUUGAAUGGCUUGGGCUAACUGUAAACCCAUCCCCUAGGAUAUGAUUAAGACUUGCUUGCAAGAGGAGAUCUGGUAAUAUCCUGGGUGGCGGAUGGGAGCCGGUUACUUGCUCAUGUCUGCUGCCCAGUAGAUCCUUGGAGUUGUAUUGUUUGGAUACCACGGUCUUCGCCCCUCUAUCCAACAAAAAUGUCUUCCAACUUCUAUGCAGCAAACACAGCCCAUGUCAGACAAACUGUUGUCCAAAUAUUCAACUCGAAAAACUUUCGGGAAAUCAACGCGCACAUUACGGAUAACGAGUACCAAGCUCUGGUGAACCAAAUCGCCUGGCCUCUAAACAAGCCGGUCUAUUCUCCUUACGCUAUNACUCAUGACGGUNACACGCAAGUUCGCCCGCCCCUACAGUGCCUUCUCGCUCGGAAGAUCCAAGUACCUCACACAUAGGAUCACGUUCUGGCAGCACUAUGGGNUUUAAUCCCCGGGGUCAAGAUGUGUCUCAUACUCUCUUCUUGGGUUCUAAGACGUCAAACAACAUCAACCCUCUAUUCUUGGUUGCUGAACCUAAUGAUAUCAAUCACACUCGCAAAACCUGUGCUCUCUACUUCGACAUCUUGUUGCAACGCAAAUAUCGAACAGAAGCUGGCCGUCGCGGGGUUGGGUAUUGGGAUUUCAAUGAUCAAGAUGUUGUGGAUUGGCAAGCGUGGUGGGCAACUUCGGUUGUCCCUGUACAUCUCUGCUGUACUGAACUGCAUUCUCCUCUGUGCUGCUCUGUCAACUUCUCCGAAUGGGUCAAAGACUACCGGCAAAGGAACAACAUUCUGCCCCAAGAUCCUGAAUAUGAGACUGAAGAAGAAGCAAUCAUUCGCCUCUCCUCACCAGAACCAUCAGAAUCUGAUACAUCCAACCAACCAAGGUCGUCUCAACAACGUUCUUCGCAGGAUUCGGUGGAUCAGGUCUUAGGAUUUUGUACGAAAGGAUAGUUCCCUAGAUAGUCUGGAAUGAAAAGUCAGUGGGAUUGAACUGUAAAUGUGCCAUCGUAAAAAAAAUGUGCUAUAAAUGGUUCUGUUCCAGUGCCUUGAUUUUCAACUUUACAUAGCUUUGUGUUGUGCAUUCUGUGCGCUAUAAACCGUUCCGUAGGUGAACCUGCGGAAGGAUCAUUACCAAAUUUAUGCGAACCCGGUUCAGGCCGUGGUAAGCUUCAACCCUUUGUGAACCAAAAAACCUUUUCGCUUCGGUUAGCGGGGAGCGGUUGCGGGUGAAAACCCAACCAAUUCCGUAAGCCUGCCGGCAGCACCAAAAUUUAAACCUGUCGUCAAAUAUUGUCUGAAUACCAUAUUUUCGAAUGAAAAUUAAAACUUUCAACAACGGAUCUCUUGGUUCUCGCAUCGAUGAAGAACGCAGCGAAACGCGAUAGUUAAUGUGAAUUGCAGAAUUCAGUGAAUCAUCGAGUCUUUGAACGCACAUUGCGCCUAUUGGUAUUCCAUUAGGCAUGUCUGUUUGAGCGUCAUUACAACCCCUCAGCGCAAGCUGGUUUUGAGCCGGUUGGUCUUGAAAAAGCCAACCGGUUUUAAAGUUGUAAGCUCUGCUGGCUGCUACGCCCAACCAAAAACAUAGUAAACUUUUGCUUGUUUGAAGGUGAGGCUUGCUGGACCGGCCUGAACAAAACUUUUACUUCUAAGGUUUGACCUCAGAUCAGACAAGGAUACCCGCUGAACUUAAGCAUAUCAAUAAGCGGAGGAAAAGAAACCAACAGGGAUUGCCUCAGUAACGGCGAGUGAAGCGGCAAAAGCUCAAAUUUGAAAUCUGGAGUCUUCGACUUCCGAGUUGUAAUUUGAAGAGGAUGUUUCGGUUGCGGCUUGGGCCCAAGUUCCUUGGAACAGGACGUCAUGGAGGGUGAGAAUCCCGUACGUGGCUACCGGCUUGCUUCUAUGUGAAACUCCUUCGAAGAGUCGAGUUGUUUGGGAAUGCAGCUCAAAAUGGGUGGUAAAUUUCAUCUAAAGCUAAAUAUUGGCGAGAGACCGAUAGCGCACAAGUAGAGUGAUCGAAAGAUGAAAAGCACUUUGAAAAGAGAGUUAAACAGUACGUGAAAUUGUUGAAAGGGAAGCGCUUGCAAUCAGACUCGCUUUCGGUUGAUCAACGUUCCUUUUGGUUCGUGCACUCUGCCGUUUGCGGGCCAGCAUCAGUUGAGGCGGUGGGACAAAGGUUUCGGGAAUGUGGCUCCCUCGGGAGUGUUAUAGCCCGUUUCGUAAUGCCACCAGCUUCGAUUGAGGUCCGCGGUUCGCCUAGGAUGCUGGCUUAAUGGUUGUGAGCGAC